UUGACCUCGAAUCAGGUAGGGAUACCCGCUGAACUUAACC
This 40-nucleotide ribosomal RNA is filed under the name Golovinomyces sonchicola. Its description in RNAcentral is "partial 28S ribosomal RNA". The record is from RNAcentral. Lineage: Eukaryota; Fungi; Ascomycota; Leotiomycetes; Helotiales; Erysiphaceae.